UACGGAAGGGGCAAGCGUUGUUCGGAAUCAUUGGGCGUAAAGGGCGCGUAGGCGGUUUCGUAUGUCUGCUGUGAAAGUCCACGGCUCAACCGUGGAGGGUCGGUGGAAACUGCGAAACUUGAGGCUGGGAGGGGCCGGUGGAAUUCCCCGUGUAGCGGUGAAAUGCGUAGAUACGGGGGAGAACACUCGUGGCGAAGGCGGCCGGCUGGACCAGACCUGACGCUAAGGCGCGACAGCGUGGGGAGCAAACAGG
Molecule: unclassified non-coding RNA, 253 nt
Filed under: uncultured bacterium
Lineage: Bacteria
Description: contains 16S-23S intergenic spacer region
Rfam family: Bacterial small subunit ribosomal RNA
Source: RNAcentral